This 482-nucleotide ribosomal RNA is filed under the name uncultured bacterium. RNAcentral's name for it is "partial 16S ribosomal RNA". It matches the Rfam family "Bacterial small subunit ribosomal RNA", at positions 28 to 507 of the family's 1533-position model. The record is from RNAcentral.
GACGAACGCUGGCGGCGUGCUUAACACAUGCAAGUCGAACGCUGAAGCUCAGCUUGCUGGGUGGAUGAGUGGCGAACGGGUGAGUAACACGUGAGUAACCUGCCCUCUUCUUUGGGAUAACGCCCGGAAACGGGUGCUAAUACUGGAUAUUCACUGAUUCUCGCAUGGGGGUUGGUGGAAAGGUUUUUUCUGGUGGGGGAUGGGCUCGCGGCCUAUCAGCUUGUUGGUGGGGUGAUGGCCUACCAAGGCUUUGACGGGUAGCCGGCCUGAGAGGGUGACCGGUCACAUUGGGACUGAGAUACGGCCCAGACUCCUACGGGAGGCAGCAGUGGGGAAUAUAGCACAAUGGGCGAAAGCCUGAUGCAGCGACGCCGCGUGAGGGAUGGAGGCCUUCGGGGUGUAAACCUCUUUCGCUCAUGGUCAAGCCGCAGCUUUGGGUUGUGGUGAGGGUAGUGGGUAAAGAAGCGCCGGCUAACUACGUG